Molecule: long non-coding RNA, 348 nt
Organism: Anoplopoma fimbria (sablefish)
Lineage: Eukaryota; Metazoa; Chordata; Actinopteri; Perciformes; Anoplopomatidae
Exons: 3
Source: RefSeq, a predicted model, not a curated record
GAGGAGGGAGGAGGAGAGGAGGGAGGAGGCUGAGAAGGAGGUUCAGACCAUGAAAGAGGAGCUGGAGACCAAGAAGAAUGAGGUUGAAACUAAACGAGCUGAGCUUCAGACGCUCCAUGAAGAGAAGCUGAGGAACGAGACCCAACUGCAGAAGCUGAAGGAAGAGCUGAAGAACAAACAGGAAAGAACUCAAAACAGCCAAAGCAGAUUUUCUUUGGUAAGAGGUCAUGAUACAAGUACAAUAUAUACAAUGUAUUUAUAUAAUAUACAAUUUAUAUAAUAUAUGAGGUUUCCUAGUGUAAAUAAAACAGUCAUCCAAGGAAACACAAAGCAACUCCAUUACUGUGA